RNAcentral lists this ribosomal RNA (527 nucleotides) under uncultured Acidobacteriota bacterium. RNAcentral's name for it is "bacterial SSU rRNA". It matches the Rfam family "Bacterial small subunit ribosomal RNA", at positions 38 to 561 of the family's 1533-position model. Lineage: Bacteria; Pseudomonadati; Acidobacteriota. The record is from RNAcentral.
GGCGGCGUGCUUAACACAUGCAAGUCGCGUGCGCAGUUUCCGUAGCAAUACGGAGAUGGGCGCACGGCGCACGGGUGCGUAACACGUGGGCAAUCUGCCCUUUGAUGGGGAAUAACCCGCCGAAAGGCGGGCUAAUUCCGCAUAAGAUUCCCGGAACUUCGGUUCUGGGAUUGAAAGCAGCAAUGCGUCGAAGGAGGAGCCCGCGCCCGAUUAGCUAGUUGGUGAGGUAACGGCUCACCAAGGCUAUGAUCGGUAGCUGGUCUGAGAGGAUGAUCAGCCACACUGGAACUGAGACACGGUCCAGACUCCUACGGGAGGCAGCAGUGGGGAAUCUUGCACAAUGGGCGAAAGCCUGAUGCANCGACGCCGCGUGGGGGAUGAAGCAUUUCGGUGUGUNAACCCCUUUCGACUGGGACGAAUGCCUCGCAAGAGGAGUGACGGUACCAGUANAAGAAGCCCCGGCUAACUACGUGCCAGCAGCCGCGGUAAGACGUAGGGGGCCAGCGUUGUUCGGAAUUACUGGGUGU